RNAcentral lists this ribosomal RNA (505 nucleotides) under uncultured bacterium. RNAcentral's name for it is "partial 16S ribosomal RNA". It matches the Rfam family "Bacterial small subunit ribosomal RNA", at positions 28 to 507 of the family's 1533-position model. The record is from RNAcentral.
GACGAACGCUGGCGGCGCGCCUAAUACAUGCAAGUAGAACGCACAGUUUAUACCGUAGCUUGCUACACCAUAGACUGUGAGUUGCGAACGGGUGAGUAACGCGUAGGUAACCUGCCUGGUAGCGGGGGAUAACUAGUGGAAACGAUAGCUAAUACCGCAUAAUAUUAAUUAUUGCAUGAUAAUUGAUUGAAAGAUGCAACUGCAUCACUACCAGAUGGACCUGCGUUGUAUUAGCUAGUAGGGGAGGUAACGGCCCACCUAGGCGACGAUACAUAGCCGACCUGAGAGGGUGAUCGGCCACACUGGGACUGAGACACGGCCCAGACUCCUACGGGAGGCAGCAGUAGGGAAUCUUCGGCAAUGGACGAAAGUCUGACCGAGCAACGCCGCGUGAGUGAAGAAGGUUUUCGGAUCGUAAAGCUCUGUUGUAAGAGAAGAACGGGUGUGAGAGUGGAAAGUUCACACUGUGACGGUAUCUUACCAGAAAGGGACGGCUAACUACGUG